Molecule: ribosomal RNA, 1755 nt
Filed under: Triticum aestivum (bread wheat)
Lineage: Eukaryota; Viridiplantae; Streptophyta; Magnoliopsida; Poales; Poaceae
Description: partial small subunit ribosomal RNA
Source: RNAcentral
AUGGCUCCCCAAGCUCCGACGUCGGCGGCCGCCCCGACCUCUUGGGAACCUCCUGCCGGUGUCCUCCCUGCUUCAACGACGGCGCCCGCUCCAGCCUUUCGGGCGCCUCCUGCCGGCGCCACCACCGAUACGACGACGGAGGCCACCCCGGCCUCUCUAACUCCUUCUGACGGCACCACCACUGCUACAACGACGGAGGCCACCUCAGCCUGUCUGCCGCUGCCCUCUGUGAACGGCGCAGCCGCGACUUUCCUUGCCUUCCGCAAGGCCGACCCGGCCGUGCGGGGACGCCUGCAACUGCUGCGGCCCUCCACAACCAAGACGCGGGCCAGCUCCGAUCUGAGCCUGGCGACUCCGACGCCUACCACGCCGCCUGUCGCUGCUGCCGAAGACGAUGGUCUUCAUGGAGCUCCCUUUGUUGGCCCCGAUUUAGGUGCAGCCCCCGACGCCGCUGUGCGGACCCGGCAGCCGCCAUUGGCCGUGUCGUGGGCUUCCCUCGCGGACAACGUCUGCAGCAUUGAUGAUGAAGAUGAGCUCGCCUCGCUGACGCCGUUGGCUGCCAGGUGCUCCAGUGGGGUGAGCGAUCCGGCUGCCGCUGCUGUUGUCGCUGCUGCUCCUGAGGCGUCUUUGGACCAGGGAUGGGUGAAGGUGGGGGGCCGGCGUCGUUCGGCGUCGCCGACAUUAGCUCUGGCUCCCCGGCCUAUCCCUGCCUGGCUUCGCGGUCGAUGCUGCAGAUGCCUCGCCCCUGGACACCGGGCGACGGUUUGCAGAGAUCCCUUCCGAUGCUCUCGUUGCUUGGAGAACGGUCAUCGUGCUUGUGACUGCCGCAACCCAUGGCGUUCUCUUAGCUCUCUGGCAUAUCUUGUUGUCCCGCCCGUCUCUCGCCUUGGCAUCCAACAUUGUCAACCUCCUACUCCAAGAGAGGCCCAAUUAAAAUCCACACUCCCUUCCGUUGCGCUUCACCGUGGAUCUUGGGCGUCUGUGGUUUCUGCUUCCGCUAGCCCGGCAUCCCCAUCCAUUGAUGUGCUUCAGACCGCUCUGGCUGAUCAGACCGAGUUGCUUCAGGGUUGGCAGACACGUAUUGAGAGCUUCCUGGAACGGGCUGAGGCUGCUUUGAGCAGGCUCUCCUUUUUGCCGGCUAUGUUUCUGGCCACGCAGACACCACUCCCUCUUGUUGGCUCCACGGAGGACGAAGGGGCAGAUCCUUAUGGUUGUUUCUCCCCUCGUGUUCGGGACAAUUCAUCAUUGAUGUCUGCUUCGUCUGUUGUGCAUGUCGAUGUGGGCGAGUCCAUCGCUGUGCUUGCGACUCCGGUGCUACAGCUCAUGCCCGAGCUUCGGGAUAUAUGUUCGAGCCCUGCUUCGCCUCUGUCCUUGGAGCGGUUGGAAGUGGACUCGUCGACAACCUUGUGUGAGGGGCAUGUUUUGCCUCUGUCGUGUGAGCAACUGGAGGUGCCGAAGUCCAUUGUGUCGAUGGUUCCUGUGGUGGAGGAUGAUGUGUUGGGGGUUCCUCGGGCCGAUGAUGUCGAUGCGGCCGGUUUGUUGGUGCCUGCCCCUAGUAGGAGCCCCUUGGUUGAUGACAACUACAUCAAGAAGUACAAUGAGUUCUAUGAUUUUUUUGACAAAUGGGUGGCGGAUCAGUCUGGACCCGGCAUCACAAGUGGUUGCCUCCCCAAGAAGAAACCCAAUAGGGAGAAAGCAAAGAGAAACAAAAGCAAGAAGGGCGGUGUUAUUCGGAAGACGCCCACGAUUUCAUGA